CGUCUGGUGGAUGGCUCGGCUCGGGCGCCGAUGAAGGGCGCGGCAAGCGGCGAUAUGCCCGGGGUAGGCGCAAGCAGCCGUCGAACCCGGGAUUCCCGAAUGGGACUUCCUGCUGAGGGUUAACAGCCCUCAGCGCCCCCAUUCGGGGGCGGGAACCCCCCGAACGGAAACAUCUUAGUAGGGGGAGGAAAAGAAAUCAAAUUGAGAUCCCCUGAGUAGGGGCGACCGAAAGGGGGACAGCCCAAACCAAAUCCCCACGGGAUAACCGUGGGGAGAUGUGGGGUUAUCGGCUCCACGGCUGGGGCUCGACCCCAGCGAGCCGACCCACCGUAGCCGAAGUGGGCUGGAAUGCCCCACCGUAGAGGGUGACAGUCUGGGGGCAGGCGUUGAUUGCUCUGCCCUCAGGUCAACUCCCGUAGGCUAAACGGUGGGGGCUCGUGCCGUGGAGCAGAGUACCACGGCUUGGUUUUGCCGUGGGAAGUCGGGGGUCACCGACCUCCAAGGCUAAAUACGUCCCGAGACCGAUAGCGCACUAAGUACCGUGAGGGAAAGCUGAAAAGUACCCCGGAAGGGGGGUGAAAAGAGCCUGAAACCAGGCGGCUAAUAACGGUGCGGCUCGAAAGGGGUGAAUCCCCCCGAAGGAAAAACGGGUGACCGUUGAGUACGAGGGGGGAGGACCGGGGUCGCACCGUCCGUCUUGAAACACGGGCCGGGGAGUUCACGGCAGUGGCGAGCUUAAGGGGGUUAACCCCGAAGGCGUAGGGAAACCGACCUGCCCGCAGCGGGAAACCGUGAGGGGCGGGGUCUGCAAGGGCCUGGAGUCACUGCCGUGAGACCCGAAACCGGGCGAUCUAGGCGGGGGUAGGGUGAAGCCGGGGGAAACCCCGGUGGAGGCCCGAAGGGGUGCUGACGUGCAAUUCGCUCCUCUAACCUCCGCCUAGGGGCAAAAGACCAAUCUAGCCCGGUGAUAGCUGGUUCCCUCCGAAGUGUGUCUCAGCACAGCCCCGCUGGAGGUGGGUCACGGGGUAGAGCUACGGAUUGAGGGUGCCGUGAGCCGGAAGGCUCCGGGCUCUCAGUCCAACUCCGAACCCGUGGCCACCGUAGAAGGCGGGAGUGGGGCGCCCCGGGGUAAGCCUGGGGGCCGAGAGGGGAACAACCCAGGCCGGGGUUAAGGCCCCAAAGUGCCGGCUAAGUGCCAAACGUAAAGGGCGUCCGCGGCCUAAGACAGCGGGAAGGUGGGCCUAACAGCAGCCAUCCUCUAAAGGCAGGGCCUAAAACCCUGCCGGGGAGGGAGUGCGUAAGCCACUUAUCUCUCCGCCAAUUUUAAAAUGAAUCGUACUGCAUAAUAAUGGGUCGAGUAUGUAAAAUGACUGAGAGGAUAUAUUUAAAAGCAUAUAUUGCUGGUGCUUUAAGAGACGGUUACAUUGGAAGGUAUGUAGAAAGAAAGAAUAGCAAGGAGCAUUGGGUGCUGAGAAUAUAUAGCAAGGAUGUAGAAUGGCUUAAUGAAUUGGUUAAAAUACUCAAGUACGCAUAUGGAUUUGAGACAAAUGUGAUAAUCCCACAUAGAGGUAUACCGUAUAUAGAGAAAUACUCAAAGAAAAUAGUGGAGCAUAUCGCUAAAGAGUUAAACCACCCAAUAGGUAAAUCAAUAAACUGGGACACGCCAAUGUUCAUUAAAAACACCAACGAUAAGGGUAUAUGGAGGUAUUACAUAGCUGGAUUCUUCGAUGCAGAGGGUGGAGUGGAUAUAACUAAGAAGCAAUUGAAGAUAUACCAAUCAUGGAGAGGUGAAGUAUGUCCCCCAUUAAUGGAUAUAAAAGAUAAGAUGCUAACUCUUUUUGGAAUAGAGAGUGGGGAAGUAUCCAGGUACCCUAAUAGAAGAUACAACCCAAGAUUCGUUGUAAGAAUAAAGAAAAAAUACACAUAUAUGUUUUACAAAACUUUCCCAUUAUUAAACCCAUCUAAAAUAAACAAGAUCAAGCUCAUUAUUUAAAUCCUUUUAGGGCGGAGGGAUGGUGGCCGCAAAACAGCUCACCCGCCGAGGCCGCGGGCCCCGAAAAUACGUCGGGGCUUAAGCCGGCCGCCGAGACCCCGGGGCACGGCCUCCAUGAGGCCGUGAUCCGGUAGGAGGGCGUCGGGAUGGGGUAGAAGUCGGGCCGUGAGGUCCGAUGGACCCGUCCCGAGUGCGGAUCCCGGCGGUAGUAACAGCAAAGUGGGGUGAGAAUCCCCACGGCCGGAAGGGCCAGGGUUCCUCAGCAACGGUCGUCAGCUGAGGGUUAGCCGGUCCUAAGGCAGGCCGUAACUCGGUCCUGCCGAAAGGGAAACGGGUUAAUAUUCCCGUGCCGCGGAGGUAGGUGCGGCAACGCAAGCCCGAACCCUGACGCGUCGAGGUAGGCCGACCGAGGCAGCCGCCUCGGCUAACUACCCGAAGGCCGGGGAGUGCCGUAACGGCGAGAACCGGCUGAAGGGAGGAAUGGCCCCCGUUAGGGGGUUCGGCCGAGCCUCGGCGCCCUUGAAAAGGGGUUCGGGAACGAACCUCCGCGACCGUACCGAGAACCGACACAGGUGCCCCUGGGUGAGGAGCCCAAGGCUUGUGGGGGCUAACCCAGGCUAGGGAACUCGGCAAAUUAGCCCCGUAACUUCGGGAUAAGGGGUGCCUGCGGUUCUGCGGAAAACCCGUGGAACCGCGGGUCGCAGUGACAAGGGGGUCCUGACUGUUUAAUAAAAACAUAGCUCCCCGCUAGUCCGAAAGGAUUAGUACGGGGGGUGAAUCCUGGCCACUGGCGGUACGUGAAGCCGGGGUACAACCCGGUGAAGCGCCGCUGAAGGCCGGGGGUAACUCUGACCCUCUUAACGGGGGUCUCCCACCCGCUAGCAACACGGUAGUUUAUACUUAUUACAUGGGUGGAAAAGAUGCAACUGGGACUGGUGAGGUAAUGAGGCCAGAAAUAAUAGGAUAUGUUGUGGGCUUCAUUGAUGCUGAAGGGAGUUUCUCAGUGAGCGUGAAGUUACAGAAAGACGUUGUAUAUGGAGUGAGGCUUGAUCCCGUCUUCAGCAUAACUCAGCAAGGGAGGGAGCCUCUUGAAGUUAUCGCUGAUGUACUUAAUGCGGGAAGAAUAAUUCGAAAGCCUGGUCAAAGACACCUGUGGUUGCUUAUAGUAGAUAGAAUGAGUGAGCUGACUCAGAGCUUAAUACCGUUCUUGGACAAAUACAGGGAUCUCCUUCUAGCUAAGAGAGAAAUAUAUGAGCUGUUUAGGGAGAUAGUCAUUGGCUUGCAUAGUGGAAUGCAUAAAAGACCUGCGGGUCUUAAGAAGCUUGUGACUUUAUCUUACAGCCUCUCUAGAUUGAACUCGAAGGCCCAUAGAAAGAGGGCCCUUAAACAAAUUUUAGAAAUAAUCGAUUCCCGUGUUGCCGAGUGGGGGGAGCCCCCGGGAGAUAGGUAGCCAAAUGCCUUGCCGGGUAAGGCAGGCACCACGUAUUGCAUAAUAUGUGGUGUCUGCCCUCGACAGUUCCGGCGCGCAUGAAUGGAUCAACGAGGGCCCCACUGUCCCAGCCUGGGACCCCGUGAAGCCCACGGGGCUGGUGCACAGGCCAGCAUCCCCCCGUAGGGAGAGAAGACCUCGUGGAGCUUUACCGCAGCCUGGCGUUGGUUCUCGGGUUGCGGUGCGUAGCGUAGGCGGGAGGCUGUGAACCCACUCUUCCGGGGGUGGGUGAGCCGUAAGUGAAACACCGCCUACCGCGAUCUGAGGGCCUAACCUCGGGUUCGCCCGAGGGACAGCGUCAGGUGGGCGGUUCGGCUGGGGCGGCACGCCUGCGAAAAGAUAACACAGGCGCCCAAAGGUCAGCUCAGGCGGGUCAGAACUCCGCCGUAGAGUGCAAGGGCAAAAGCUGGCCUUACCAGACCCUUGAACGUAAGGGGUCUGGUCGGGAAACCGCGGCCUAGCGAACGCUCGUGCCCCCUUCGGUGGGGGCCGGGCAUGACAGAAAAGUUACCCCGAGGAUAACAGGGUCGUCGCGGGCGAGAGUCCCCAUCGACCCCGCGGUUUGCUACAUCGAUGUCGGCUCUUCCCAUCCUGGGAGUGCAGCAGCUCCCAAGGGUGGGGCUAAGGGGGUAAGGCGCUUAAGAAGGUAAGCGUUCUUCCCCCUCCCUAAGCCCGCCCAUUAAAGGGGAGCGUGAGCUGGGUUUAGAGCGUCGUGAGACAGCUCGGACUCUACCCACGGGGGGUGCGGGCCGCCUGAGGGGAAGGCAUCCCAAGUACGAAAGGAACGGGAUGUCGCGGCCUCUGGUCUACCGGCUGUCCGGCAGGGCAUGCCGGGCAGCUACGCCGUGCGAGCUAACCGCUGAAAGCAUCUAAGCGGGAAGCUCGCCCCGAAAAGAGGCGGCCGUUCGCCGGAGGUUCCCUCCGGCGACGAGGGCACCCGUAGAAGACGGGUUUGAUGGGGCGGGGGUGUAUGC
Molecule: ribosomal RNA, 4456 nt
Filed under: Zestosphaera tikiterensis
Lineage: Archaea; Thermoproteati; Thermoproteota; Thermoprotei; Desulfurococcales; Desulfurococcaceae
Description: bacterial LSU rRNA
Rfam family: Archaeal large subunit ribosomal RNA
Source: RNAcentral